This 1446-nucleotide ribosomal RNA is filed under the name uncultured prokaryote. RNAcentral describes it as "partial 16S ribosomal RNA". It matches the Rfam family "Bacterial small subunit ribosomal RNA". The record is from RNAcentral.
UGAUCCUGGCUCAGAACGAACGCUGGCGGCACGCCUAACACAUGCAAGUCGAGCGCACCCUUCGGGGCGAGCGGCGGACGGGUUAGUAACGCGUGGGAACGUACCCUUUACUAAGGAAUAGCCUUUGGAAACGAAGAGUAAUACCUUAUACGCCCUUCGGGGGAAAGAUUUAUCGGUAAAGGAUCGGCCCGCGUUAGAUUAGAUAGUUGGUGGGGUAAUGGCCUACCAAGUCUACGAUCUAUAGCUGGUUUGAGAGGAUGAUCAGCAACACUGGGACUGAGACACGGCCCAGACUCCUACGGGAGGCAGCAGUGGGGAAUCUUGGACAAUGGGCGCAAGCCUGAUCCAGCCAUGCCGCGUGAGUGAAGAAGGCCUUAGGGUCGUAAAGCUCUUUCGCCAGGGAAGAUAAUGACGGUACCUGGUAAAGAAACCCCGGCUAACUCCGUGCCAGCAGCCGCGGUAAUACGGAGGGGGUUAGCGUUGUUCGGAAUUACUGGGCGUAAAGCGCACGUAGGCGGAUUAGUAAGUUAGGGGUGAAAUCCCAGGGCUCAACCCUGGAACUGCCUCUAAAACUGCUAGUCUUGAGUUCGAGAGAGGUGAGUGGAAUUCCAAGUGUAGAGGUGAAAUUCGUAGAUAUUUGGAGGAACACCAGUGGCGAAGGCGGCUCACUGGCUCGAUACUGACGCUGAGGUACGAAAGUGUGGGGAGCAAACAGGAUUAGAUACCCUGGUAGUCCAGACCGUUAACGAUGAAUGCCAGACGUCGAUCCAUAGGGUUUCAGUGACGCAGCUAACGCGAUAAGCAUACCGCCUGGGGAGUACGAUCGCAAGAUUAAAACUCAAAGGAAUUGACGGUGACCCGCACAAGCGGUGGAGCAUGUUGUUUAAUUCGAAGCAACGCGAAGAACCUUACCUACACUUGACAUACUCGUCGGGAUUUCCAGAGAUGGAUUUCUUCGGUUCGGCCGGACGAGAUACAGGUGCUGCAUGGCUGUCGUCAGCUCGUGUCGUGAGAUGUUAGGUUAAGUCCUGCAACGAGCGCAACCCUUAUCGUAUGUUGCCAUCAUUAAGUUGGGAACUCAUGCAGAACUGCCAGUGAUAAGCUGGAGGAAGGUGGGGAUGACGUCAAGUCCUCAUGGCCCUUACGUGUUGGGCUACACACGUGCUACAAUGGUAUCUACAACAGGAAGCAAGACUGCGAAGUUAAGCAAAUCCUUAAAAGAUACCUCAGUUCGGAUUGCACUCUGCAACUCGAGUGCAUGAAGCUGGAAUUACUAGUAAUCGUGGAUCAGCGUGCCACGGUGAAUGCGUUCCCGGGUCUUGUACACACCGCCCGUCACACCAUGGGAGUUGGGUUGACCCGAAGGUGGUGCGCCGACCUCAGCAAUGAGGGGGCAGCCAACCACGGUCAGUUCAGCGACUGGGGUGAAGUCGUAACAAGGUAACC